AUUGAACGCUGGCGGCAGGCCUAACACAUGCAAGUCGAGCGGAUGAAGGGAGCUUGCUCCUGGAUUCAGCGGCGGACGGGUGAGUAAUGCCUAGGAAUCUGCCUGGUAGUGGGGGAUAACGUCCGGAAACGGGCGCUAAUACCGCAUACGUCCUGAGGGAGAAAGUGGGGGAUCUUCGGACCUCACGCUAUCAGAUGAGCCUAGGUCGGAUUAGCUAGUUGGUGGGGUAAAGGCCUACCAAGGCGACGAUCCGUAACUGGUCUGAGAGGAUGAUCAGUCACACUGGAACUGAGACACGGUCCAGACUCCUACGGGGGGCAGCAGUGGGGAAUAUUGGACAAUGGGCGAAAGCCUGAUCCAGCCAUGCCGCGUGUGUGAAGAAGGUCUUCGGAUUGUAAAGCACUUUAAGUUGGGAGGAAGGGCAGUAAGUUAAUCCCUUGCUGUUUUGACGUUACCAACAGAAUAAGCACCGGCUAACUUCGUG
This 484-nucleotide ribosomal RNA is filed under the name uncultured bacterium. Its description in RNAcentral is "partial 16S ribosomal RNA". It matches the Rfam family "Bacterial small subunit ribosomal RNA", at positions 30 to 507 of the family's 1533-position model. The record is from RNAcentral.